Molecule: ribosomal RNA, 253 nt
Filed under: uncultured bacterium
Lineage: Bacteria
Description: partial 16S ribosomal RNA
Rfam family: Bacterial small subunit ribosomal RNA
Source: RNAcentral
UACAGAGGUCUCAAGCGUUGUUCGGAUUCAUUGGGCGUAAAGGGUGUGUAGGUGGCGCCGUAAGUCGGGUGUGAAAUUUCGGAGCUUAACUCCGAAACUGCAUUCGAUACUGCGGUGCUUGAGGACUGGAGAGGAGACUGGAAUUCAUGGUGUAGCAGUGAAAUGCGUAGAGAUGUGGAGGAACACCGAUGGCGAAGGCAGCCUCCUGGGCCAAUACUGACGCUCAUGCACGAAAGCGUGGGGAGCAAACAGG